This 468-nucleotide ribosomal RNA is filed under the name uncultured bacterium. RNAcentral describes it as "partial 16S ribosomal RNA". It matches the Rfam family "Bacterial small subunit ribosomal RNA", at positions 28 to 507 of the family's 1533-position model. The record is from RNAcentral.
GACGAACGCUGGCGGCGUGCUUAACACAUGCAAGUCGAACGGAAAGGCCCUGCUUUUGUGGGGUGCUCGAGUGGCGAACGGGUGAGUAACACGUGAGUAACCUGCCCUUGACUUUGGGAUAACUUCAGGAAACUGGGGCUAAUACCGGAUAGGAGCUCCUGCUGCAUGGUGGGGGUUGGAAAGUUUCGGCGGUUGGGGAUGGACUCGCGGCUUAUCAGCUUGUUGGUGGGGUAGUGGCUUACCAAGGCUUUGACGGGUAGCCGGCCUGAGAGGGUGACCGGCCACAUUGGGACUGAGAGACGGCCCAGACUCCUACGGGAGGCAGCAGUGGGGAAUAUUGCAGAAUGAGCGGAAGCCUGAUGCAGCAACGCCGCGUGCGGGAUGACGGCCUUCGGGUUGUAAACCGCUUUCGCCUGUGACGAGGCGUGAGUGACGGUAAUGGGUAAAGAAGCACCGGCUAACUACGUG